Molecule: ribosomal RNA, 488 nt
Filed under: uncultured bacterium
Lineage: Bacteria
Description: bacterial SSU rRNA
Rfam family: Bacterial small subunit ribosomal RNA
Source: RNAcentral
GAUGAACGCUAGCGGCAGGCUUAAUACAUGCAAGUCGUGGGGCAGCAGGUUUGUAGCAAUACAGAUGCUGGCGACCGGCAAACGGGUGCGGAACACGUACAGAACCUUCCUUUGAGCGGGGAAUAGCCCAGAGAAAUUUGGAUUAAUACCCCAUAGUAUAAUGAAGUGGCAUCACUUUAUUAUUAAAGAUUUAUCACUCGAAGAUGGCUGUGCGGCUGAUUAGGUAGUUGGCGGGGUAAAGGCCCACCAAGCCUGCGAUCAGUAACUGGUGUGAGAGCACGACCAGUCACACGGGCACUGAGACACGGGCCCGACUCCUACGGGAGGCAGCAGUAGGGAAUAUUGGACAAGUGGGGGGAACCCUGAUCCAGCCAUGCCGCGUGAGGGAAGAAGGUCCUCUGGAUUGUAAACCUCUUUUGGCAGGAAACAAACCUGCGCUAUACGCGCAGCUGAGGGUACCUGCAGAAUAAGCACCGGCUAACUCCGUG